UAACGAGGAUUCCCUUAGUAACUGCGAGUGAAGCGGGAAGAGCUCAAAUUUGUAAUCUGGCGGUCUCUGGCCGUCCGAGUUGUAAUCUGUAGAGGCGUCGUCCGCGUCGGCCCGUGUACAAGUCUCCUGGAAUGGAGCGUCAUAGAGGGUGAGAAUCCCGUCCAUGACACGGACCACUGAUGCUCUGUGAGGUGCCCUCGAAGAGUCGCGUUGUUUGAGAAUGCAGCGCAAAAUGGGUGGUAAAUUCCAUCUAAGGCUAAAUAUUGGCGAGAGACCGAUAGCGAACAAGUACCGUGAGGGAAAGAUGAAAAGCACUUUGAAAAGAGAGUUAAACAGUACGUGAAAUUGUUGAAAGGGAAACGCUUGAGGCCAGUCACGUCCUGAGGCACUCAGCCUUGCUUCGGCUUGGUGUACUUGCCUCAGAACGGGUCAACGUCAAUUUUGGUCGGUAGACAAAGGUGAGGGGAAUGUAGUGUUGUUUCGGCGACAUGUUAUAGCCUCUCGUCGAAUACACCGGCUGGGAUUGAGGACCGCAGCACGCCCUUGUGGCUGGGGGUUUGCCCCACAUAACGUGCUUAGGAUGUUGGCAUAAUGGCUUUAAGCGACCCGUCUUGAAACACGGACCAAGGAGUCUAACAUGCUUGCGAGUGUUAGGGUGGAAAACCCUUGCGCGCAAUGAAAGUGAAAGUUGAGAGCCUUCGUAAGAGGGUGCACCGACGCCCGGCCCUGACGUUCUCUGAUGGUGCUGCGGUAGAGCAAGUAUGUUGGGACCCGAAAGAUGGUGAACUAUGCCUGAAUAGGGCGAAGCCAGAGGAAACUCUGGUGGAGGCUCGUAGCGAUUCUGACGUGCAAAUCGAUCGUCAAAUUUGGG
RNAcentral lists this ribosomal RNA (871 nucleotides) under Coltricia cf. stuckertiana Robledo 281. Its description in RNAcentral is "eukaryotic LSU rRNA". It matches the Rfam family "Eukaryotic large subunit ribosomal RNA", at positions 66 to 915 of the family's 3401-position model. Lineage: Eukaryota; Fungi; Basidiomycota; Agaricomycetes; Hymenochaetales; Hymenochaetaceae. The record is from RNAcentral.